RNAcentral lists this unclassified non-coding RNA (261 nucleotides) under Nectriaceae sp. RNAcentral's name for it is "partial contains 5.8S ribosomal RNA, internal transcribed spacer 2, and large subunit ribosomal RNA". Lineage: Eukaryota; Fungi; Ascomycota; Sordariomycetes; Hypocreales; Nectriaceae. The record is from RNAcentral.
CGCACAUUGCGCCCGCCAGUAUUCUGGCGGGCAUGCCUGUUCGAGCGUCAUUUCAACCCUCAAGCCUAGCUUGGUGUUGGGGAUCGGCACAAGGCGCCCUCGGGUGCCCGCCGUCCCCUAAAUCUAGUGGCGGUCCCGCUGCAGCCACCUCUGCGUAGUAGUUUUCUCCUCGCAAGGGCAGCUCGGUGGCGACCUCGCCGUAAAACCCCCAACUUCUGAAAGUUUGACCUCGAAUCAGGUAGGAAUACCCGCUGAACUUAA